ACAAUACAGACAAUGUUCACGAUACUGUACAGUUAUGUGUAUGUGCAGAAUUGGAACGUGACUGCAUUAACUGAUCAAUGAGAACGGUUCAUGUUGUACAGGUUCAGGGUGACAUUGCAAAUUGAUACCACCUGCAGGAUUCCCAUACGACUCAUGAAUCUGAAAGAAGCGAUUCAACAGCUGGUUAUUAGGUAGUACAUGACAUUUGUCAUCAACUUGAUUAUGUGGUGUCAAUAUGGCGUGCAGAAACCGUGUAUUUGAAACCGAAACAGGUCAAAUAAUUAGGUAGUACCUGAGACAGCUGUCUUGGAUCAGGAGCGCCGAAGAGAGACGAGCUGGAGCUGAAACUGAUGGCUCCUCUCCGGCUGAGGACAUGCUUAGGAACCGGCCUGUCUAGAGGCAAAACCGGCAGCUGAUAACAUACUUCCAUUGAACAAAGUCAGAGCUGGAUCCAGAUCAAAAUUCAAAUUUAAAAAAUGUAAUAAACAGAAAUGAAUUGAUAGAAUGGAAAAUGAAAUGCAGGAAACGAAUAGGGUUGAUUGCAGAGCGGUAUCCCUCCUUUGUGGGGGGAUCAGUUGUAAUGCUUCAGCAGUAAGGUAGGCUACUUGUUCUAGGCGACUUUAAACUUGACAAAAUCGCCGUCAUUGAUACAUUGUCUAUGUUUCUCGUCUCAUUUGGUCCCAUUCUAUUCGGAUUAUUUUCAUGCUGCUCAUUCGCUCCUUAUUCCACACAGAUUUGGGCCCUCAAAAGACGAGGCCUCUAUAUUUUCUGCAUCUUUAUAAAAACGCGUACUCAUUUUUUGUCCAAAACUCCUCUCAGACGUGAUCCAUCGUGAUACGUCUCAAAAUCUAAACAAAAGGAACGAACGACCCCUCAAAACACGACAGCUACCGAUAUACAGCACUGGUGGAUGAAGUGAAAGGAAUCCUACGAGGUAAAUAUUGGAGAAGUUGCCUUUACAGUGGUUUGGUGGUAUUCAUUUAACGUGCCAGAAGAAACAUUAUCAAUAUGUAUUCGGUCUUUUUUCACAAUACAAGUAUAAAUAGUACCCGUAAUUGACCACACUUCUGUCUCACUCAAUGCAGCACUGUGUAAUUUCAACAGAAAGUGGCUGGCUCAAGGGGAAACCCGACGUCAAUCUCACUCAAAUGUCGGCGUCCGGCAAACAAUAUUAAGUGCAACGAAAAAGCAAAAAUGUGAAUCAAGGAGAACUGGUGGCUGAGGUGUACCAUGGCAACAGUCAGGCUGAAUGCCAGUUGAGGGGCAUAAUGAGUACCCCUCUGGCCUCUCCUCCACUACAUCCCUCCCUCCCUCUCUUCUACGGCACUCUCAAUGCAAUUCCACACAAUCACACUCCUUGGGAGGUUCUGCGUCUUUUCCAGGCAACUGAAGCAACAGUGUGCCACAUCACUCCACCAGCCAGUCACUCACCCUCAGCGAAGACUAGGCACAUGAUAGUAGAACCCCAUAUCAACCUUAGCAAAGGACAAGCCAAUCCAGACCCAUUAAAUUAGACUAGAUAUCGACUGGUGACGUUCUAACGGGUCAGAAUGACUGGGCCUAGCUGUGGUGAUUAAUAAACUGCAUUUUUCAUACACAUUUCAAAAAGUGUAGUUGAGGUUGGUGUUUAUUUGAUAUUUUUUACUAAAUGUUUUCAACAAACCACUUGAUCACUCUAAAAUUACAUAAGUGUGUGCAUGCAUGUGUGUGUAUGUGUACACACUCCCAUGAGUGUGACUGUCUGUGGGAAAGGGUAGGAAAACAUUUGUUAAUUAAUUCCUCCAACAGUUCCUUUAUAGCACACACAUAUUGGUCCCUAGGCAGAUAUGCUCAGCUGCAUCAGGCACCCGGCAAGCCCAGGGGGCGCGGAGUAUAGAGCAUGGAGUACAGGGACAGGUUAGCUGCAUACCUGCUGAUUCUCCAAGCAGCUACAAGUAUCUUGUUGCAAUUCCCCCACACCUCCCACCCCCUCCUUUGUCUGUGACAGCCUUUAGGGAACCAGAGGAGUCGCUAGCGCUAAUUGAUGAUACAGAUAAGAGCGACUGACUAUUGGCAAAAAGUGGCAUUCCUUAUAUAACAUGUUCAGAUGUAAUAAGCCCACACGUUUAAUUUGUCUAGACUUGAACAAUAAACAUGACUGUUUUUUAUCAGGAAAUGAACCGUCAAUAAAAUUUGAAUCCAA
This is a non-coding RNA of Salvelinus sp. IW2-2015, 2182 nucleotides long. The record is from RefSeq and is a predicted model, not a curated record. Lineage: Eukaryota; Metazoa; Chordata; Actinopteri; Salmoniformes; Salmonidae.